Drosophila nasuta is the source of this 935-nucleotide long non-coding RNA. RefSeq lists it as uncharacterized. The record is from RefSeq and is a predicted model, not a curated record. NCBI's taxonomy places the organism in Eukaryota, Metazoa, Arthropoda, Insecta, Diptera, Drosophilidae. The transcript is spliced from 2 exons.
AACAAUCUAAACUAACAAUAAUACAACGAACAAUAAAAUAACAAGAAAAAUAAGCUAACAAUAAUACAACCAAAAAGGAAGGCUGUUCGCCUUCCUACUGGGUGACGCUGAUAUUCGCUUUGAGGACACCACAGAACAUAGCAAUCCGUAGAUGGAGAUUGCAAGGCCGUCGGCCGCAGAUGUUUUCCUUCAUCCGAUACAGCAGAUCAUCUGCUCGUGGCGUACCAACAGCUGAUGUGGCCAGCAAAGCUGUGACGGCGAGCUUUGAGUGGAUGGCCGUUAAUCCCUCCCUUGUGUGUGGUGAAUUUUCAGUAUAACGAAUUUAAAAUUCGACCACAUUCAAAUUUGGAUAUUGGAUUAUUAUAAAUUAUUACGGCGUUUUUAUAACUUAAUAUGGCGUUCAUAUGAAUUAUUAAGGCGUUUAUAUUAAUUGUGACUGGGUUAUUACAAUGUAUACACUGGGUGCCGAAUCUAAAAAUAAAUAUAACAAAUAUUUACCCUAUUCUGGAAAACGGCACUUGGUUUAAUUACGCCAGUUGGCAAAUUCCUGUAGUGGACAACCAGCUACAAGUGGACGGCAAGGUGCAAUUAUACAUUGAAGUAUCUUUGUAUACUCACAACACAUGCACUUAUCCACUAUUUUUACAAUCAAGUUCUGCACAUAACCUGCCAACAAUUUUCUUGCUAACAAAACCAACAACAAAAACCUUUUUUCGGAAUUUUGACAAAUAGUCCUACUCAAAAAGGAAAUCGCUUGUCUAUUUUGGUUUGGACUUAACACGAUCAGCUGAUCUAGUAAUUAAUGCUUGCAAGUAUCGUAGUCCACCAAUAGAUGGCGCUAUUAUUGGAGCUUUCAGACUUAUGGAUAGUAAAGCUCCACUUCUCAAUACAAAACAUAACAAUACAUUUAGUUCCAUUUUCUCAGGAUACAAAAA